This 485-nucleotide ribosomal RNA is filed under the name uncultured bacterium. RNAcentral describes it as "partial 16S ribosomal RNA". It matches the Rfam family "Bacterial small subunit ribosomal RNA", at positions 29 to 507 of the family's 1533-position model. The record is from RNAcentral.
AUUGAACGCUGGCGGCAUGCCUUACACAUGCAAGUCGAACGGCAGCACGGGUGCUUGCACCUGGUGGCGAGUGGCGAACGGGUGAGUAAUACAUCGGAACAUGUCCUGUAGUGGGGGAUAGCCCGGCGAAAGCCGGAUUAAUACCGCAUACGAUCCACGGAUGAAAGCGGGGGACCUUCGGGCCUCGCGCUAUAGGGUUGGCCGAUGGCUGAUUAGCUAGUUGGUGGGGUAAAGGCCUACCAAGGCGACGAUCAGUAGCUGGUCUGAGAGGACGACCAGCCACACUGGGACGGGGACACGGCCCAGACUCCUACGGGAGGCAGCGGUGGGGAAUUUUGGACAAUGGGCGAAAGCCUGAUCAAGCAAGGCCGCGUGUGUGAAGAAGGCCUUCGGGUUGUAAAGCACUUUUGUCCGGAAAGAAAUCCUUGGCUUUAAUACGGUCGGGGAUGACGGUACCGGAAGAAUAAGCACCGGCUAACUACGUG